AACGAACGCUGGCGGCAGGCCUAACACAUGCAAGUCGAACGGGACCUUCGGGUCUAGUGGCGCACGGGUGCGUAACGCGUGGGAAUAUACCCUUGGUGCGGAAUAAUAUUUGGAAACGAAUACUAAUACCGCAUAAUAGCUCCGGCUCAAAGAUUUAUCGCCAAAGGAUUAGCCCGCGUCUGAUUAGGUAGUUGGUGGGGUAAAAGCCUACCAAGCCGACGAUCAGUAGGGGGUCUGAGAGGAUGAUCCCCCACACUGGGACUGAGACACGGCCCAG
Molecule: ribosomal RNA, 277 nt
Filed under: uncultured bacterium
Lineage: Bacteria
Description: partial 16S ribosomal RNA
Rfam family: Bacterial small subunit ribosomal RNA
Source: RNAcentral